UCAUCGUCUGCUACUAAAUUUCUUCAUUUCUCACGUGGUCGGAGUGGAGACGGUCGCCUGGUCGCCCUUUUCCUGGAAUUUGGAAAUUUCUUUGUCUAGUUGGUUAAUCUCUCUUCUAAUUAUGCUACUAUUAAAGUAUUGUUUCAUAUUUUUUGUAGUCAUUUCGUUUUCAUGAAACAUUUCUCGCUGUCAAACAGUAUCGAUAUGUGUUCUUCAUGCCCAGCCCAGCUUUUGAUUCUUUGCUCGAAGCAACUUUCAUAUCGAAAUUUUUCAAAAACAGUUUUGUUCUGGUUUAUUUAAGUUAGAAUAGUUAAUGAACCUAAAUCUUAUUUGUGUUAAUCUGUCUAUUUUAUUCAGAUUUCUUGACUUCAGAAGUUGGUGAGGUGUUAAGAGAUCUGCCAGAUUGACCAGGACUCGAGUUCAUCACCAAAUUAUAUCAUUAAUUGCCGCAAUCUUCUCCUGACUGAAUAUUGAUGCAGUUUGAUCACGGCCAUGUUUACAGUUUGACUGAUCGGCGAUUUCACGUAGUCAUACAAUUAAAACAGAUUGGGAUAAAUUUUGUUCUUUUAUUUGAAGACAUUUCUAAAAAGAUUUUCCGAAUAUCAAUCAGCUCUUUCUCAUGCUAAAUAAACUACUUAUAUAUAUUCGUCUACGCUAUGUAGAGUGUUUAAAAGUAUUGAUUCUUAAAGUUGAAAUGUGUAAUCAAAAACAUAAAUAAAUAGUUGGAAUUGCA
Daphnia pulicaria is the source of this 733-nucleotide long non-coding RNA. RefSeq lists it as uncharacterized. The record is from RefSeq and is a predicted model, not a curated record. The transcript is spliced from 2 exons. Lineage: Eukaryota; Metazoa; Arthropoda; Branchiopoda; Diplostraca; Daphniidae.